RNAcentral lists this ribosomal RNA (549 nucleotides) under uncultured bacterium. Its description in RNAcentral is "bacterial LSU rRNA". It matches the Rfam family "Bacterial large subunit ribosomal RNA", at positions 217 to 723 of the family's 2925-position model. The record is from RNAcentral.
AAAAGAAAUCAAUCGAGAUUCCCUGAGUAGUGACGAGCGAAACGGGAACAGUCUAAACUUAUAAUGUGUCAAGCUGACAGGCGUUGCAUUAUAGGAGUUACACGAUGUAUCUACAGAUUCUGUCAAGAUCUGACAAUCCACUACUCUCUACAGGAAAAAUGGUCUGGAAAAGGCCAAUCAUAGAAGGUAAUAAUCCUGUAUCCGAAAUAGAAGGUAGGCGGUUGCGAUAUAUUCGUAAGUAGCAUCGGACACGUGAAAUCCGGUGUGAAUUCGGGACGACCACGUUCCAAGACUAAAGAGUGUAUGAGAUCGAUAGUGAACAAGUACUGUGAAGGAAAGGUUAAAAGAACCCCGGGAGGGGAGUGAAAUAGAACCUGAAACUUUGUGCCUUCAAAGAGUCGGAGCACCUUCGGGUGUGACGGCGUGCCUUUUGGAGAAGGAACCAACGAGUUAGUUAUAUGUGGCAAGGUUAAGGAAGUUAUAUCCGAAGCCGAAGGGAAACCAAGUCUGAAUAGGGCGACAUAGUCACAUAUACUAAACCCGAAACCC